Molecule: transfer RNA, 71 nt
Filed under: Ovis aries (sheep)
Lineage: Eukaryota; Metazoa; Chordata; Mammalia; Artiodactyla; Bovidae
Rfam family: tRNA
About the family: Transfer RNA (tRNA) molecules are approximately 80 nucleotides in length. Their secondary structure includes four short double-helical elements and three loops (D, anti-codon, and T loops).
Source: Rfam by way of RNAcentral
UCCCUGCUGGCUCAGACGGUAAAGAAUCUGCCUGCAAUGCAGGAGACCUGGGUCCAUCCCCGGGUUGGGAA